UUAACACUGCCCUGAAAUAAUAUGUUAAAAUAUAAAAAAUAAUAAUUUUAAUCACAGAAAGCCAAACAAGCAUGGAGUUUUUAUGUAUUUAUAUUUUUCCAAAUAUAUGUUUUUCCAUGUCAUGGUGACACUUACAUGUCACUGAUCACUUUGUUAUUCGUGUCAUCAUUUCAUCAUAAACAAUCUUUUGUUAAUUUAUAUUAAAGGUGUGUCUUGUAAACUAUCCAGUAGUGAUAAGCAUGUUUAAUUAAUACACAAGCGUUGAGGAUAAGACUACUGCUUUUUAAGUGGAGCGUAAACUUCUGCUCUAUUUGAAAGAAAGGUCACGCACAAUGAAUAUAAUAUUGCGGCAGUUAGUGGACACCCCACUGGUGAAACCUGCUCAACGUUUGAUUGACAGUCCUCAAACCCGCCCCCUUUACCGAUAUUCCCUUUGGGUAUGUAAAAAUAUCACCGCGAGUGAUGUUUUCAGACCGUCUUUAGCCAUAAUAUAGGAAAGAACAGCGAAAAACAACAUACACAGAUCAUUCUCCAAUACCUCUGCUAUAAAGCUGCUCCUCCACAAACAGUGAGAGGGCUUUCUCAGUGAUCUCUGGCAUCUAAAUGGAGUCUUUUCCUGUCUACAACAAUAAUAACCAAUCUGGAAAUCCCCCUGCUUUGCUGCUGUCUGUUGAACCAUUCAUGGCAGAUGGACUAUUCUGAUGAUGUCGUUCAACCUUUUCUGGAUCUUUGCUUACUUGGCAGUCAAUGGGACAGUCACAAGCCACCCAGUUUUCAUCCAGAAUAUCUUAAAUUGUGUUCCGAAGAUGAAUAAAG
This is a long non-coding RNA of Carassius auratus (goldfish), 816 nucleotides long. RefSeq lists it as uncharacterized. Lineage: Eukaryota; Metazoa; Chordata; Actinopteri; Cypriniformes; Cyprinidae. The record is from RefSeq and is a predicted model, not a curated record. The transcript is spliced from 3 exons.